GGGGACGUUACGGAUUCGACAGGCAUAGAUCGAGCUUGAAUUGCAUUUCGUAGGUUGCGUCUACGUAAAAACGCUCAGUUAAAUAUAACUGCUAAAAACAAUAACAAUUCUUACGCUUUAGCUGCGUAAAAACAGCUAGCGUAGAUCCUCUCGGCAUCGCCCAUGUGUCGAAUCAGGGUCUCAACUUUAGUGGGAUACGCAUUGACUUUCCGUCUGGAAGUCAAUGAAGAGAUGAUCAGACUAGCUUUAUAAACGGCUUGUCGCAUAGCGGUUUAUAAAGCGAAUUUAAAUUUAUGUGACUAUGAGUGUAGAUAUUCAAGCGGCGAUAUGUCUGGACGCGGGUUCAACUCCCGCCGUCUCCAUAU
Tetragenococcus muriaticus 3MR10-3 is the source of this 365-nucleotide non-coding RNA. It matches the Rfam family "transfer-messenger RNA". From Rfam's summary of the family: Bacterial tmRNA, also known as 10Sa RNA or SsrA, is named for its dual tRNA and mRNA-like properties. The record is from Rfam. NCBI's taxonomy places the organism in Bacteria, Bacillati, Bacillota, Bacilli, Lactobacillales, Enterococcaceae.